This is an RNA transcript of Dama dama (fallow deer), 3996 nucleotides long. It is a transcript of the gene named RasGEF domain family member 1C, with no coding region annotated. The record is from RefSeq and is a predicted model, not a curated record. NCBI's taxonomy places the organism in Eukaryota, Metazoa, Chordata, Mammalia, Artiodactyla, Cervidae. The transcript is spliced from 16 exons.
CGGGCUCUGCCCAUGGGCCGAGCUCCGACACGGGGCGCGCCGGGAGCCGGAAAGCAAAGGCAGAAGUGACUCUGAUUUGAAGCUUGGACAGCCUGGUGAAGCACAGGAGUACUGUUGACAAGGCCUUCCGGCACAGAUCUCCAUUAGCAUUUGGAAUGAUUACGCACCUUGUGUCCUAGGCCCCUGCAGAUGGUGGGCAUGCCCCCGGACACUCAGCGCAUCCGACAUGGUCACCCCGGGCAGCCUCGGCCCACCCCCCAGCGAGCCCACGGACGGCGAGCAGGCUGGGCAGCCCCUCCUGGAUGGAGCUCUGUCCUCAGCCUCCCUGGACACCCUGAUCGAGCACCUGGUGCCCACCGCCGACUACUACCCUGAGAAAGCCUACAUCUUCACCUUCCUGCUGAGCUCUCGCCUCUUCAUUGAGCCCCAGGAGCUCCUGGCCCGGGUCUGCCACUUGUGCAUCAAGCAGCAGCAGCUGGACAAGCCAGUGCUGGACAAGGCCCGGGUCCGGAAGUUUGGCCCCAAACUGCUCCAGCUGUUGGCCGAGUGGACAGAGACGUUUCCGCGGGACUUCCAGGAGGAGUCAACCAUCGGUCACCUGAAGGACGUGGUGGGCCGCAUCGCCCCCUGUGACGAGGCAUACAGAAAGAGGAUGCACCAGCUUCUGCAGGCUCUGCACCAGAAGCUGGCAGCUCUGGGCCAGGGACCGGAACACCUGCUGGGCACCGACAAGCCCGUCUCCUACAGGACCAAGCCUCCAGCCUCCAUCCACAGGGAGCUCCUUGGCAUCUGCAGCGACCCCUACAUGCUGGCUCAGCAGCUGACCCACGUGGAGCUGGAACAGCUGCGGCACAUUGGACCUGAGGAGUUUGUCCAGGCUUUUGUGAACAAGGACCCUCUGGCCAGCACAAAGCCUUGUUUCAGUGACAAGACUAACAACCUGGAAGCUUACGUGAAAUGGUUCAACAGACUGUGUUACCUCGUGGCUACUGAGAUCUGCAUGCCGGCCAAGAAGAAACAGCGGGCCCAGGUGAUCGAGUUCUUCAUCGACGUGGCCCGGGAAUGCUUCAACAUCGGCAACUUCAACUCCUUGAUGGCCAUCAUCUCGGGCAUGAACAUGAGCCCAGUCUCCAGGCUGAAGAAGACUUGGGCCAAAGUGAAGACAGCCAAGUUUUUCAUCCUCGAGCACCAGAUGGACCCAACGGGCAACUUCUGCAACUACAGAGCAGCCCUGCGAGGGGCAGCCCACCGCUCCCUGACUGCCCACAGCAGCCAGGAGAAGAUCGUCAUCCCCUUCUUCAGCCUGCUCAUCAAGGAUAUCUACUUCCUAAAUGAGGGCUGUGCCAACCGCCUCCCCAACGGACAUGUCAACUUUGAGAAAUUCCUGGAGCUGGCCAAGCAAGUAGGAGAGUUCAUCACCUGGAAACAAGUGGAGUGUCCCUUCGAGCAAGACCUCAGCAUCACCCACUACCUGCACACUGCCCCCAUCUUCAGCGAGGACGCCAAACACUGGAAACAACCCAGAUGGCCUUCAGUGGGUGAAUGGUUAAACAAAGUAUGGUAUGGAAUACUAUUCAGCUACAAAAAGGAAUGAACCACACUGAUACACACUACAGCAUGGAUGAAUCUCCAGAGAAUUACAGAGUGAAAAGAGCCAAUCCCAAAAGGUCUUUAUUUGGCUUCUUAUGAAAGUGAGAGCCCAGAGAACCAAACAGAAAAAGAGAGAUGGAAAUCUCUAAGGUCUUCUAUUCUGGGGAAGACAUGAGAGGCACUGAGCUGGAGAAGGAGGAGGAGGGAGAGGAAGAGAGGAAGCCAGCUGUCUUCAGCCCUGCCUGCCCCAGCCAGCCCAGUGGGAGGCAGAGGCAUUGAUGCGUCACUGCUUUGCAAACUGUGAUCCUGUGGCCUGCCACCUGCCACAAUGACCACACGGCCCAGGCGAACUUUCUCCACCUUUUGUGAAACCUCAGCUCUGGAAGGGCCCACAGCCUCCAAACAUAUGAGGGGCACAUGCCUCAGGGGCCCUGCCUUCAGAACAGUGGUGGUCACAUUGCUGGUCAGUCUGUCUGUCCUCGGCAAUGAGCCAAGAGGUUGGGCGGCUGUGAUCUCACCCUCGCCAUGGAGGUAGACACCUACCUGUCUCCAGGUGACCUGGGAGCCUUCAUAUCUCCAGCAGACGUCAUGGUGGCAUGAGAGGGGCCACAGCCCACUUGUGGCCCCUGCCAUUUUACGAAUGGACCCAAUCCUGCCCAGUGAGAUGGGCUGGUUUCUGUAGCCCUGUGUAUACGCUUUCGGCAUCCUGCGGGGAUCAGGACAGCUUCCUGGUGAGAGCUAUGAUGCCGGGCAGCAGGACAAAUUUGAGUCACACACUUGACCACGUGUACAGUACAUUGUAAAUUUUAGAGCUGGUAUAAAUACAUUGGUAUACCCUGUGUAUUCACAUCCACUUCACAUCUGUCACUGGUGACCUUCUGCCAGGAUGCAGGGCAAUGUCCCAGUUCAGGCCCAGGAACACAGUGACCACAGGUCAGGAGGGGGACUUGGGGGCCAGUUCCACACCAGAGACCCCAUAUCCUGCUGAAAUUUGCUGGUGCACAGUAGGUAUUUGGUGAGCUCCAGUGAGCAGAUCCUGACAACCACAUGUGAGGCCAGAUGCCUCGCUUGUCUGGGUGAAUAGUGAUGGAGUCGGAAGGACGCACAACCCGCAGGAGGCCCUCCCGGCGGGCUCUCACUGUGCCCUUCACACACUGAGCCACAUUUCUGGGCCCGGAGCAAAUGGGUCAUGGAGCUGCUGAGCCCCCACCUGGCAUGGGACCAGGUCGUCCAGUCAAGAAGUCAGGGAGUGUGAUGUGCACCCCCAUUCCCAGUUGGCCUGAGUGCAGAGGAUUGUGUUGAAGAUGCAGUGAUGCAUCCUGGCCAGCCCCUGACCACAUCAGGCCUCUCAGAGUCCAGACCCAGCUCAGCUGGGACCAGCCUCAGCUGUCCUGGCAGUGUGGCCUUUGGUCCCACCUGGGGGACAGGCAGAGACAGAACAACCAACACCCCAGAUGCCUCCCCAACUCGAGGCAUUCUGCCUGAUGAACCCAGGACCUCAGCAAGGAUUCUGCAGCCUGACAGAGGUGUGGGAGUGUGCCUGUUCUGCUUGAAUGGAAUCUGCUGUACUCCAGAACAGCCUACCCCUUUCCAUCUGAGACCCCAGAGAGGCUGAGGAGUACAGUGGGUAGCAAAGAUGAUCCGGUUUUCAGUCAAGCCCAGGCUCCCUGCCUGCCUCACACCACAUCUCAGCUCUCCACAGGGGUGGGGAUGGGGUUCUGAGAGUCCCGGGAGCUAACUAGAAGCACUUCCUGACCCCCUCAGGUCUGCCCAGCACACUCCCUUGGUGUCUGGCAUCCCCUGGGGCUGCACUAGACCAGACUCCUGAAGAUGUCAGCAGGGCCCGUGUGUGCCCCAGUCACACCGAGCACGGCCUGUCAGAGGUCGGGACAGGUGCGCAGAGUGGGUUAGUGGCCUGGAGACGCGAUGGUAGGCCCAGGGCUGAGGCCUGGGGAGCUCCGGGAGGCCUCCCCAGGUUGUCUCCUUCCCUCCUCCCCAGCCACAGGGAGGCAGGACAUGCUGGAUGGGGCCCCCAGUUCACCCCCCAGGCCCAGGCCUUGCCAGCCACCUGGCUCCAGCUCCCUAUUCUUGAGCAGCUCAGCUCAGGAGCCUGUGAGGAAACCCCAGAAUACUGAGCUUCAGGAAGCAGCAGGUGAGGUCAAGGAGCUGGGGGCAGCUGACCACAGUGUGUCCUCUGCCUCAUGCCAUCCUUCACCUGGGCCCAGGAUUCCAGCUCUCUCUCCAAGGCCAGACCCCAAAUUUCUCCCCUCAGAGUCCUCUCAUCUCCUACCAGAGGACUGCAGCAGCCUCCUCCAGGCUGUGGGGAGCAUUAACAAAGGAUGUUGGAGGGAUUGGGAUGGGGAACACGUGUAAAUCCAUGGCUGAUUCAUGUCAAUGUAUGGCAAA